CUGCGCCUCAUCCUGCCCCAU
This 21-nucleotide unclassified non-coding RNA is filed under the name Mus musculus (house mouse). RNAcentral describes it as "oocyte_clustered_small_RNA11711". The record is from RNAcentral. Lineage: Eukaryota; Metazoa; Chordata; Mammalia; Rodentia; Muridae.